UUCGAUCGGAUAUUGAUUGCGCAAAUUAGUGUCAGCAUUUAAGUGUGACCCCCGGGUUUAAACAUCGCAUGGGUGACAAAGAUGUCAGAUAAGCAAAGUCACCUUCACAAUUUCCCCGCUUGGUGGAUUCCUGAACUGGCAAGCAUCCUUGACACCCAGGAAAUCAUAUAGGAGUACAUACUUAUAUGUGCAUAUAGGUGCAUAUAAUUCAAAUCUUAUCUUACCGUUUUGUUAUUAUUAUGUUUUAAUUUCAUAUGAUUUCUCUGCAAUAUAUUUCUAAAAUUAAGCAAUUAUGUAAGACGUAUCAUUUAUGCUUUAUUUUUAAGAUCUUGUAAUAUUGCACAAAUGCAUGUGAUUAAAAAGUUAAAUAAAAAAAUUUAAUAAAUAGCAAAAUCCAUUUGGCUAAUGUAAAAUAUUCGUUAUCAUUGC
Long non-coding RNA from Rhagoletis zephyria (snowberry fruit fly), 429 nucleotides. RefSeq lists it as uncharacterized. NCBI's taxonomy places the organism in Eukaryota, Metazoa, Arthropoda, Insecta, Diptera, Tephritidae. The record is from RefSeq and is a predicted model, not a curated record.